ACUCAAAGGAAUUGACGGGGGCCCGCACAAGCGGUGGAGCAUGUGGUUUAAUUCGAUGCAACGCGAAGAACCUUACCUACCCUUGACAUCCUAGGAAGGUCUCAGAGAUGAGAUUGUGCCGAAAGGAGCCUAGAGACAGGUGCUGCAUGGCUGUCGUCAGCUCGUGUCGUGAGAUGUUGGGUUAAGUCCCGUAACGAGCGCAACCCUUAUCCUUAGUUGCCAGCACGUAAAGGUGGGAACUCUAAGGAGACUGCCGGUGAUAAACCGGAGGAAGGUGGGGAUGAGGUCAAGUCAUCAUGGCCUUUAUGGGUAGGGCCACACACGUGCUACAAUGGGCAGUACAAAGGGAUGCAAACCUGCGAGGGGGAGCGGAUCUCGGAAAGCUGCUCGUAGUCCGGAUUGGAGUCUGCAACUCGACUCCAUGAAGUUGGAAUCGCUAGUAAUCGCGGAUCAGAACGCCGCGGUGAAUACGUUCCCGGGCCUUGCACACACCGCCCGU
Molecule: ribosomal RNA, 499 nt
Filed under: uncultured bacterium
Lineage: Bacteria
Description: partial 16S ribosomal RNA
Rfam family: Bacterial small subunit ribosomal RNA
Source: RNAcentral